Molecule: RNase P RNA, 545 nt
Filed under: Chloroflexota bacterium
Lineage: Bacteria; Bacillati; Chloroflexota
Description: Chloroflexi bacterium RNase P RNA component class A
Rfam family: Bacterial RNase P class A
About the family: Ribonuclease P (RNase P) is a ubiquitous endoribonuclease, found in archaea, bacteria and eukarya as well as chloroplasts and mitochondria. Its best characterised activity is the generation of mature 5'-ends of tRNAs by cleaving the 5'-leader elements of precursor-tRNAs.
Source: RNAcentral
CAAGCAGAUCAGGUGACCGCCCCGCUUCGGCGGGGAGGAAAGUCCGAACUCCAACGGGCGGGGCGCUGGGUAACACCCAGGGGGGACGACCCCCGGAAAGUGCCACAGAAACAUACCGCCGCAGGAGGACAGCCGGCAAGAUCUGAAAUGGUCUCUAUGGUGAAAGCCGCUGACCGUUUGGUGUAGCGGCUUUCGGGUUCUCUGCGGUAAGGGCGAAAUGGUGAGGUAAGAGCUCACCGGCAACUGGGUGACCAGUUGGCUGGGCAAACCCCGCUUGGAGCAAGACCAAAUAGGAGGACGCUAAAGACGCGCCCGUUCUGUCCUCGGGUAGGUCGCUUGAGAUGGCGGGAGACCGUCAUCCUAGAUUGAUGGUCACCACCUGGGCAGGGGUCGGAUAGGGGUUUGGAAGUCGGCUCCUUCGUGGCCGCGAAGGAGUUGUGGUUGUGAGGUUGUGGACCGCCGCGUGCGGAUGUGGGGGAUGACAACCAGCCCCUAUCCCACCCCUACCCAGGCUACAGAAUUCGGCUUAUCGAUCUGCUUGGGCU